UGGCCUGCCUGGCCACCUUAACCCCUUUCAAUCCUGUGUGGGGCAGAUGCUGCAUUACAGGGUCAAAACUCACUCUCUGUAGAUGUCAGUGGGAAAAGUAGGCAACCUUAUUCUGAGCACUUCGGGGAGAAGCUUGUAGAUAACUUCAGCACCUCCUGCACCGAAGAUGGGAAGUAGUUGGUCCCAGUGACAGGCUGAGGCAACGGCAUGUGGCUAACAGCACCACGACAUCCCUUUGGACCCGAGACCUAGAGCUGCCUUUGACUAGCCAGUCAUCGAGGUACAGAUAGAUCUGGACACCCCUACAUUUGAGUGCUUGCCAAUCAAAGGGGAGAUCUUGCAUUGACUGUUGAGCCUCCAUGGACAAACCAGAGAGGAGCAGCCAGGAUACCCGGCGCAUAGCAUCGGCUGAGGCCAUGGUUUGGGCGGCAGUGUCCGCCGCAUCCGACACCGCCUGGGAGGUCGCCCUGGCCGCAGUCUUGCCCUCCUCUAUGAUCUCCUAGAACUCCUCCCUAGAAGUCUCAGGAAGGGAGCCCUCAAACUUGGCCAUGGCUUGCCACAUGUUAAAGGCAUAGCAUCCCAGGAGGGCCUGAUGGUUGGCCACCCUCAACUGGAG
Long non-coding RNA from Chelonia mydas (Green sea turtle), 616 nucleotides. RefSeq lists it as uncharacterized. The transcript is spliced from 4 exons. Lineage: Eukaryota; Metazoa; Chordata; Testudines; Cheloniidae. The record is from RefSeq and is a predicted model, not a curated record.